RNAcentral lists this ribosomal RNA (253 nucleotides) under uncultured bacterium. RNAcentral's name for it is "partial 16S ribosomal RNA". It matches the Rfam family "Bacterial small subunit ribosomal RNA", at positions 524 to 776 of the family's 1533-position model. The record is from RNAcentral.
CACGGGGGGAGCAAGCGUUGUUCGGAUUCAUUGGGCGUAAAGGGCUCGUAGGUGGCUUUGUAAGUCGGAGGUGAAAUCCCACGGCUCAACCGUGGACACGCCUUCGAAACUGUGAAGCUUGAGGCUGGGAGAGGAGAUCGGAAUUCCUGGUGUAGCGGUGAAAUGCGUAGAUAUCAGGAGGAACACCGGUGGCGAAGGCGGCUCUCUGGACCACAACUGACGCUGAGGCGCGAAAGCUAGGGGAGCAAACAGG